GAUAAUGUAUGAGGAAAUAUCGAAAAGUCUGUUUCCAGCAUAUGAAGUUUGACCCAUCUGUUAAUGCUUUUAGAAAAUCUGCUUGUGGAUAUUUUAACAGUUGUUAUUGCCACAUGACUAAAAAUGUCAUCAAGCAAAGGGCAACCAGUAGUUCAAAGUAUUCAAGUUCUGAAGCCUGUUUGAUUAGUUUGGGCAUAAAAGCAUGUGCUCAACUUCUGUAACUACCGUAAAAGGUUUGCUCAAGAGUUUGC
RNAcentral lists this long non-coding RNA (251 nucleotides) under Nicotiana benthamiana. RNAcentral's name for it is "long non-coding RNA (NBEN_LNC011332)". Lineage: Eukaryota; Viridiplantae; Streptophyta; Magnoliopsida; Solanales; Solanaceae. The record is from RNAcentral.